This 447-nucleotide ribosomal RNA is filed under the name uncultured bacterium. RNAcentral's name for it is "bacterial SSU rRNA". It matches the Rfam family "Bacterial small subunit ribosomal RNA", at positions 328 to 792 of the family's 1533-position model. The record is from RNAcentral.
CGUCCAGACUCCUACGGGAGGCAGCAGUGGGGAAUAUUGCACAAUGGGGGAAACCCUGAUGCAGCGACGCCGCGUGAGCGAUGAAGUAUUUCGGUCUGUAAAGCUCUAUCAGCAGGGAAGAAGAUGACGGUACCUGACUAAGAAGCCCCGGCUAACUACGUGCCAGCAGCCGCGGUAAUACGUAGGGGGCGAGCGUUAUCCGGAUUCACUGGGUGUAAAGGGGGCGUAGACGGCCAAGCAAGCCAGGGGUGAAAGCCCGGGGCCCAACCCCGGGACUGCCCUUGGAACUGCAUGGCUGGAGUGCGGGAGGGGCAGGCGGAAUUCCUGGUGUAGCGGUGAAAUGCGUAGAUAUCAGGAGGAACACCGGCGGCGAAGGCGGCCUGCUGGACCGCGACUGACGUUGAGGCUCGAAAGCGUGGGGAGCGAACAGGAUUAGAUACCCCGGUA